Molecule: long non-coding RNA, 1022 nt
Filed under: Mus musculus (house mouse)
Lineage: Eukaryota; Metazoa; Chordata; Mammalia; Rodentia; Muridae
Description: long non-coding RNA chr16:92086450-92087472
Source: RNAcentral
AGCAGGGCUUCCUGUCCCUUGCUCAGCUGCCUUUCUUUGUCUGGAACGGUUGCUAAUCACCAUAUAAACUCUUAGGCUUUUCUGCUUUGCUUUGUUGUUGUUUUGUUCUUUUCCUUUUUUGACAAGAUGGAUAUCAAAAAUAGUUGCUGUGCAAAAGUUAGUAGUCUUCUUCAAGAAGAAAACAGUUCCUUUUCUAAUACUAUCCUGUGAAAUUGCUUCACCCAUUCCUUUAUUUUAAAGCCAAAUGUCAGCAGAAUACUGCUGUUUUUAUCUAAAUAAUUUUAAUAUGUAAGUAUUAAUGCAUUUAAAAAGAUGUCUGCGUUGAGAAAUACUUCACUAGUGUACUGCCUGUGAAAACUUUGUUCAGAUUUCUGGCUAAGACACCAGUCAGUAUACUGGGGCUGCACAUUACAUACAUGUAUUAUUUUAGUCAGGUAUUGUUGUAGACCAAGCCUGGUUAUAAUAGAGUAGACUAACACUAGUUUGUUAUCAGUUAAUUUUUAAUUAUUUCCAGUUUACUCUCUUGUUUUCCUCAUACUCUUCUCGUUUUCAGAUUCCAUUAAUCGGGUCCAUUUCAUUGUGUAAGGCUUCAGUUUCAAAGAAAAUAGAAUUUGAUAUAAGCCAGGUUACUUCCAUCUUGAAAGGAAAACAAUUAAAACUGUAGAUUUAAAAUGGUUAAUUAUCUGUGACAAUUUUAGCCUAUUCUGUAUACAACUGAUUUUUAAAACUGUAGACUGUGUUAAGUGUUACUGUUGUUUAAAAAUGGGGAAAAAAACCUGAAGCAAAUCUGCUUAAAGAGCUGUUGGUUCUCAUUGCUGACCACAAACACUAUGUUCAUGUGUACUCGUGUUAUUUUUUGAGCUGCUACAUUAGCCUGCAGACGUAUUUGAAAAUUUAAGAUGAAUAUAUUUCUUGCAAAGUCCGUUCCUUUCUGUGGUAUCUUGUCCUGUAACUGAAGUGUAGUUAUUAUUUUAUGGAAAUGUUAGAACUUCUGUACCAACUUUGAAUAAAAUGAAAACUUU